CUGGACUAAACAGCUACCAGAACUCUUAAACAUGGUUAGAGUUGUGUUCAUAGCUACUAGGAGGGACUGGGAGAGAGUCUGAGUGAGUGGAGAACAGUAUAAUUUGUACAACAUAGGAGGGAAGCCAGAGAGAAGAAUGAGGAAUAUGAUGUCUGUCAACAUCAGCCUCCUCUGUGCUGUGAUCUGUGUGGUGUCAGGAGUGAUCACAAAGAGAGGGACAGAAGGAGGAAAUGAUAUCAUUCAGUGUCCUUAUGCCCGGGGGUUUGAGACACACCAGAAGUACCUCUCUAAAGGGAUCUGGGCCUACCGGGUUGAUGUGAUCAAAACCCAAACCCAUCAGCACCCAGCGGUGACUCAUAAAGGGAGAUUCUCUCUGUAUGACGACACAGAGAGAAGAGUCUUCACUGUGACCAUCACUAACCUGGUCCUAGAGGAUUCAGGGACCUACUGGUGUGAAAUAAACACAUGGUGGUGGUAUCACAAGACUGAAUUCAGGAUCACUGUGGACAGAGCUACUGUUCCUCCAAACCCUGGCUCCAUCACCUCCAGACCUCUCCUCUCCACGACACACCCAUCAACACACAUCACCAUGACAACUGACUCCUCAAACUCCACAGCAGAUAGGACCAAUGGAACAGUAUCCACAGACAUGACUAGAACACAAGGUAACAACAGCAUCACCACCACAGACAUGACUAGACCACAAGGUAACAACAGCAUCACCACCACAGACAUGACUAGAACACUAGGUAACAACAGCAUCACCACCACAGACAUGACUAGAACACAAGGUAACAACAGCAUCACCACCACAGACAUGACUAGAACACAAGGUAACAACAGCAUCACCACCACAUACAUGACUAGAACACUAGGUAACAACAGCAUCACCACCACAGACAUGACUAGAACACAAGGUAACAACAGCAUCACCACCACAGACAUGACUAGAACACUAGGUAACAGCAGCAUCACCACCACAGACAUGACUAGAACACUAGGUAACAACAGCAUCACCACAGACAUGACUAGAACACAAGGUAACAACAGCAUCACCACCACAGACAUGACUAGAACACAAGGUAACAACAGCAUCACCACCACAGACAUGACUAGAACACUAGGUAACAACAGCAUCACCACAGACAUGACUAGAACACAAGGUAACAACAGAAUCACCACCACAGACAUGGCUAGAACACAAGGUAACAACAGCAUCACCACCACAGACAUGACUAGAACACAAGGUAACAACAGCAUCACCACCACAGACAUGACUAGAACACUAGGUAACAACAGCAUCACCACCACAGACAUGACUAGAACACAAGGUAACAACAGCAUCACCACCACAGACAUGACUAGAACACAAGGUAACAACAGCAUCACGGUAACAUAAUGAACCCUCAGCACCACAUGACCCUGAGAUAUAAACUACAACUACCAAGAAUCAUAUUGUAACAUUUAAAAAAAUACCGUACGGUAACAUGGACUACAACUACCAAGCAUCCUGUCCUCAUAAACUACAAAUAUGAAUCUAAAGAUACACCGCCUUGUGGUGGAAACUAGUCAUGACAUCUUCCACCUCCAGACAGUGAAUAACAUUGAACCACAUUAACAACACAUUGACUUUGCCUGAUACUUGAUAUUAGAUUGAAUGAUCUGACUGUGACUAUUGAUAUCUCAUUGACAUUUCCUCUCUAUGUUCUGCUCUCCUCAACACCACCUGUUUCUCUGUCUAAUGUUGUCUUCCCUCCUCCCUCCGUCUGAAAUGGUAGAAACCCAGAGGUACAGUACAGUAGAGACAAGCUAAAUGUAGCAUCACUGUUACAUUAUGCCUGAGUACUGUCUCUGGGUGUUCUAGGAGAUGUGAAGUUCUCUGGUGUUGUUCUGGGUGUUCUAGGUGUUGUGAUGUUCUCUGGUGUUGUUCUGGGUGUUCUAGGUGUUGUGAUGUUCUCUGGUGUUGUUCUGGGUGUUGUUCUACUACUGCUGGGUCUGCUGCUGUUCAUGUUCUUCAUACAGAGGAGAGACAGAGACAGGAGACCAACAGCAUCCAAACACUCUGCC
Oncorhynchus mykiss (rainbow trout) is the source of this 2067-nucleotide non-coding RNA. The record is from RefSeq and is a predicted model, not a curated record. NCBI's taxonomy places the organism in Eukaryota, Metazoa, Chordata, Actinopteri, Salmoniformes, Salmonidae.